UUUGCUGAUAACAUGUUAAGAUCGAGUAAAUUCUCUUUACACUUUACAGUUCACUCGUUAUAUCAUGCAGUGCUCUCUUUGUGGUAAUGUGUUAUCUUUGUGCUUCAUUAGAACUGCAUGGUGUAGAUCCUACCAUGUCUAACUAUACUAGCUUUGUACGUGAUUCUGAUAUAUGUAGAUUUAGAACACACUGUUUUCCAGUUACAUUGGUUCUGUUUUCGGUGUUUUUUCCAGAGGCAUAGUUCAUGACGCUCAUUCUUUCUGGAAAUAAACGUUAUGCCAGGGGAGAGGUAAGUGUGAAUAGGGUAAUGUGUGUGCGUCUAGAAGAAUAUAGAAUUGUAUAUGCUGUGUUCAUCCAGAAAAUAUGUC
This 369-nucleotide long non-coding RNA is filed under the name Capsella grandiflora. Its description in RNAcentral is "long non-coding RNA (CGRA_LNC000816)". The record is from RNAcentral. Lineage: Eukaryota; Viridiplantae; Streptophyta; Magnoliopsida; Brassicales; Brassicaceae.